Vespa velutina is the source of this 1646-nucleotide long non-coding RNA. RefSeq lists it as uncharacterized. NCBI's taxonomy places the organism in Eukaryota, Metazoa, Arthropoda, Insecta, Hymenoptera, Vespidae. The transcript has 3 exons. The record is from RefSeq and is a predicted model, not a curated record.
GUAACAAACACAACAGGACCGUUCGACUGGAAUGCAAUGAUUCGGAGUCAACGAACGUUUAUAGAAGAAGAAGAAAAAGAAAAAGAAGAAGAAGAAGAAAAAGACGAAGAAUAAGAAGGAGGAGGGUUACCUCUCUCGAUAGCUCGUAAAUGGUCGAUCCUGUCGGUCGUCGUACAACACUCGUGUACCAUGUUUACGCAUACGGAUGUUCCAAUGGAUACACAAAAUCUGGAGAAAAGAAAGCGAGAGAGGAAAAGAGAAAAGAAGAGAAGAGUAGAGUAGAGUAGAGUAGAGGAAAGAAAAGGAGUGAAGUGAAGAGGAGAGAGAGAGAGAGAGAGAGAGAGAGAGAGAAAAAUAUCGAUGGGUCGUGUCUACGUUCUGUCAAUGAAAUACCGUCGAGGAAUUUCGAGGAGUCCUUCGAGAAUACCGUCCGAGAGUCGAUCGGUAAUCUCUCGAUAAUUUGUUGAAGAAAGAAAGCAACGAAGGUGGAGGAAGAACGAACGAGAAAGAAGAAGAACGAAGAAGAAGAAGAAGAAAGACCGAUGAACACUACCAAGAGAAGCUGGGAUAUGUUUGCACCUCUCUCUGUCUCUCUCUUUCUCUCUCUCUCUCUCUCUCACUCUCUGUCUCUGUCUGUCUUUCUCUUUCUCUCUGAAAUACGUCCGUAAACUUCGUUAACGACUAUACCCCUACCGCGAAACUGGAUUCUGUACUCCAAUUACGUACGACGAAAGUAAAAGGCAAAGGAGGAGUCUCCGACGUAUCGACUGCAAUGUCCGAUAAGCAGUCGAGCGUCGUCGUUACGAUGGGGGCAAAGAGGAAGAAAGAGUAAGAGAGAGUGUGAUCCAAAAAGAUCGAGCACGCGACGGGUCAGCUUCGUUCGAGGGAUCGAGGAAGGAUGAAAUCGAUGGUCCGUAAAGCGCAUCCAUCGACGAUUAUAUAUAUAAGGGAAGAAAUUCAUCGACGGGCCAAGAAAGAGAAGAAGAAGAAGAUGAAGAAGAAGAAGAAGAAGAAGAAGAAGAAGAAAGAAGAAGAAAGAAUAAGUUUUAGUUAGAAGAGAUCUUCUUUCCUUCCUUCCUUCUUUCCUUCCUUUCUUUCUUUCUCCUUCUUCUUUACCCCAAAAGAGAAACCAUUGUCGUGCUUAAUUUACCGUUAAAUUGUUUACAUCUCAUUAAUCGCGAUAGAAAACUAGAAUGAGAGAGAGAGAGAGAGAUAGAACAAGCAUAAGGGGCGACGAUGACGACGAUGACGAAGAUGAUUAUGGCAGCGGCGGCGAUGUUAGGACAAUCAGGAUCAUCGAUGCACAUCACUCAAACAUGAGCCCGUGGCCAUAGCUUUAAUUUCGAUCUGAAUUCAUCUUCCCUACAUUCUGUGGUAGCCGAAUAAUAUUCUUCGAAGAUCGAAGAGGAGAACACUUUUGGGGUGCACUCGACCGUAUCCUUCUUCUCCAAGGUAAGUAAGAGAGACAAAGAUAGAAGAGAAUAGUCUACCAUCACGAUAAGAAAUUUUUACUCGUCGCCAUUACUUCGAAUAUCUUCGAAGUUAACGCUUAAAUUCAUCCUAUUUAUCUUUUCUCUGUUACUCUGUCUCGUUUGAUGUAUAUAUAUAUAUAUAUAUAUUUACGUAUCUAUAUAUCUAUCUAUCUA